This 73-nucleotide transfer RNA is filed under the name bacterium. RNAcentral's name for it is "tRNA-Trp". It matches the Rfam family "tRNA". Rfam says of the family: Transfer RNA (tRNA) molecules are approximately 80 nucleotides in length. Their secondary structure includes four short double-helical elements and three loops (D, anti-codon, and T loops). Further hydrogen bonds mediate the characteristic L-shaped molecular structure. tRNAs have two regions of fundamental functional importance: the anti-codon, which is responsible for specific mRNA codon recognition, and the 3' end, to which the tRNAs corresponding amino acid is attached (by aminoacyl-tRNA synthetases). tRNAs cope with the degeneracy of the genetic code in two manners: having more than one tRNA (with a specific anti-codon) for a particular amino acid; and 'wobble' base-pairing, i.e. permitting non-standard base-pairing at the 3rd anti-codon position. RNAcentral also lists the same sequence under 3 other names. The record is from RNAcentral.
ACGGGAAUAGCUCAAUUGGUAGAGUUACGGUCUCCAAAACCGUCGGUUGGGGGUUCGAGUCCCUCUUCCCGUG